Long non-coding RNA from Lineus longissimus, 390 nucleotides. RefSeq lists it as uncharacterized. The transcript has 3 exons. NCBI's taxonomy places the organism in Eukaryota, Metazoa, Nemertea, Pilidiophora, Heteronemertea, Lineidae. The record is from RefSeq and is a predicted model, not a curated record.
GUCUAUCCCGAAUCCCGAGUUAUUUUCGGCCCAUCCCAGUGUCCCGAAAAUACCCGUUCUCCCCCUCAUACAUAGUAGACCAUAUUGUCACAUUGAUGUUUUCUUUCAUUACAGUUAGACUUCGAGAUCUACAUUUUCGACAAAGGCCUGGUGUAAUAUUAUUACGUACUUGAUGAAGCAACAUUCAAUAGAUUUAUUUACUGUAUUAUCAUUUCGACCAAGGCGAAUUCGACACUUCAAUUCAAUUACACAAGCACAAUCAAACUUAGUCAUUCCAGUCAGUUACUGAAGCACAGCGAAAACUGUCUGAAUUAGUGCUGCUGAUGGCAUGUAAUUACUCUACUACCACUACCAGUGACAGUCAAUGUCCAAAUAUUUUCAAGUGUGCGA